GCGUACUUAGCUCAGUGGUUAGAGCCUCCGCCUAGUGUUUGGAGGUCGUGGGUUCAAAUCCUGCAGUGUGCA
RNAcentral lists this transfer RNA (72 nucleotides) under Cronartium ribicola 11-2. RNAcentral's name for it is "tRNA-Thr (AGT) (tRNA-Thr-AGT-42-1)". It matches the Rfam family "tRNA". From Rfam's summary of the family: Transfer RNA (tRNA) molecules are approximately 80 nucleotides in length. Their secondary structure includes four short double-helical elements and three loops (D, anti-codon, and T loops). The record is from RNAcentral. Lineage: Eukaryota; Fungi; Basidiomycota; Pucciniomycetes; Pucciniales; Coleosporiaceae.